Molecule: long non-coding RNA, 620 nt
Organism: Vitis vinifera (wine grape)
Lineage: Eukaryota; Viridiplantae; Streptophyta; Magnoliopsida; Vitales; Vitaceae
Exons: 2
Source: RefSeq, a predicted model, not a curated record
CAUUCCGUGACCUUUCUCUGCCUCUCCCUUUCUCUUGCAGGUGCUGCCUUUUUUCAACUCAUUUCCACUGAAGCAGGGAGAGGAUUUUGGUGGUAGCUCCAAAAGGAAGAAGAAGAAGGAAAAAAAAAAAAAAAGAACAGAACAGAACAGAAAGGUGAAAUGGGUUGUGCCUGGCUCCCUGUAUGCCACACGUAGAGACCACUCCCUUUCCCGGAUUGGCUAUUUGCGGGUGGCGUGCGAGGAGCCAAGCAUACCCACCAUUCUUUCCUUCUCUAUUUUUUCUCUUUUUUGUUCUCUGUUUGGCUUUUUUUAAAGCAACAAUCACAUCAUUAGGCAUAUUCUUCUAACGCUGGGCAUGGUUUGAUUGUGGGUCGAUUUCAAUGGAAGGAGGCUUGGAGGAGUGUUAAAGGGGAUGCAGCUUUAUUGGCUUGGAAGGAAAGAGAAAGAUUUGUGGAGGAAUAUUUUCCAACCCAUCCAAUCAACACCACCUUCGUAAAUCCUGGAUUCCAUUCCAUCUCUUUGCACAGAGGCAUCGUGUUUUUUGGAAUUUUUGUUCCCAUUUUACCCUUUGUUCCCAUAUUUAAGGCAAUUAUUUUAUGAUUUAUUUCCAUUGCAAUCAU